GGGUUGUGAGGUUAAGCGACUAAGCGUACACGGUGGAUGCCCUGGCAGUCAGAGGCGAUGAAGGGCGUGCUAAUCUGCGAUAAGCGCCGGUAAGGUGAUAUGAACCGUUAUAACCGGCGAUACCCGAAUGGGGAAACCCAGUGUGACUCGUCACACUAUCAUUAACUGAAUCCAUAGGUUAAUGAGGCGAACCGGGGGAACUGAAACAUCUAAGUACCCCGAGGAAAAGAAAUCAACCGAGAUUCCCCCAGUAGCGGCGAGCGAACGGGGAGGAGCCCAGAGCCUGAAUCAGCAUGUGUGUUAGUGGAAGCGUCUGGAAAGGCGCGCGAUACAGGGUGACAGCCCCGUACACAAAAGCGCAUGUGCUGUGAGCUCGAUGAGUAGGGCGGGACACGUGGUAUCCUGUCUGAAUAUGGGGGGACCAUCCUCCAAGGCUAAAUACUCCUGACUGACCGAUAGUGAACCAGUACCGUGAGGGAAAGGCGAAAAGAACCCCGGCGAGGGGAGUGAAAAAGAACCUGAAACCGUGUACGUACAAGCAGUGGGAGCACCCUUUGGGGUGUGACUGCGUACCUUUUGUAUAAUGGGUCAGCGACUUAUAUUCUGUAGCAAGGUUAACCGUAUAGGGGAGCCGGAGGGAAACCGAGUCUUAAUUGGGCGUUAAGUUGCAGGGUAUAGACCCGAAACCCGGUGAUCUAGCCAUGGGCAGGUUGAAGGUUGGGUAACACUAACUGGAGGACCGAACCGACUAAUGUUGAAAAAUUAGCGGAUGACCUGUGGCUGGGGGUGAAAGGCCAAUCAAACCGGGAGAUAGCUGGUUCUCCCCGAAAGCUAUUUAGGUAGCGCCUCGUGAAUUCAUCUCCGGGGGUAGAGCACUGUUUCGGCUAGGGGGCCAUCCCGGCUUACCAACCCGAUGCAAACUGCGAAUACCGGAGAAUGUUAUCACGGGAGACACACGGCGGGUGCUAACGUCCGUCGUGAAGAGGGAAACAACCCAGACCGCCAGCUAAGGUCCCAAAGUCAUGGUUAAGUGGGAAACGAUGUGGGAAGGCCCAGACAGCCAGGAUGUUGGCUUAGAAGCAGCCAUCAUUUAAAGAAAGCGUAAUAGCUCACUGGUCGAGUCGGCCUGCGCGGAAGAUGUAACGGGGCUAAACCAUGCACCGAAGCUGCGGCAGCGACGCUUAUGCGUUGUUGGGUAGGGGAGCGUUCUGUAAGCCUGCGAAGGUGGCCUGUGAGGGUUGCUGGAGGUAUCAGAAGUGCGAAUGCUGACAUAAGUAACGAUAAAGCGGGUGAAAAGCCCGCUCGCCGGAAGACCAAGGGUUCCUGUCCAACGUUAAUCGGGGCAGG
RNAcentral lists this ribosomal RNA (1347 nucleotides) under Salmonella enterica subsp. enterica serovar Takoradi. Its description in RNAcentral is "partial 23S ribosomal RNA". It matches the Rfam family "Bacterial large subunit ribosomal RNA", at positions 1 to 1378 of the family's 2925-position model. The record is from RNAcentral. Lineage: Bacteria; Pseudomonadati; Pseudomonadota; Gammaproteobacteria; Enterobacterales; Enterobacteriaceae.